CCUACGGGUGGCAGCAGUGGGGGAUAUUGCUCAAUGGGGGGAACCCUGAUGCAGCGACACCGCGUGGGGGAUGAAGGGCCUCGGCGUGUAAAGCCCUGUUGGCAGGGAAGAAAAUGACGGUAUCUGACGAAGAAGCACCGGCUAACUCCGUGCCAGCAGCCGCGGUAAUACGUAGGGGGCAAGCGUUAUCCGGAAUCACUGGGCGUAAAUAGGGCGUAGGCGGGGAAGCAAGUCAGGUGUGAAAGCCUAGGGCCUAACCAUAGGACUGCAUUUGAAACUGCUAUGCUAGAGUAGGGGAGGGGUAGGCGGAAUUCCUGGUGUAGGGGUAAAAUGCGUAGAUAUCAAGAGGAACACCGAUGGCGAAGGCGGCCUGCUAGAACACAACUGACGCUGAUGCGCGAAAGCGUGGGGAGCAAACAGGAUUAGAUACCCUAGUAGUC
This 440-nucleotide ribosomal RNA is filed under the name uncultured bacterium. RNAcentral's name for it is "partial 16S ribosomal RNA". It matches the Rfam family "Bacterial small subunit ribosomal RNA", at positions 338 to 795 of the family's 1533-position model. The record is from RNAcentral.